This is a non-coding RNA of Linepithema humile (Argentine ant), 472 nucleotides long. NCBI's taxonomy places the organism in Eukaryota, Metazoa, Arthropoda, Insecta, Hymenoptera, Formicidae. The record is from RefSeq and is a predicted model, not a curated record.
AGAAAUAGCCAAUUUAAUAAUGGCAAUGUGGCAUAUGAGUUAUUAAUUUUAAAAAAUACAAUUAUAUCAAAUUUAGGUUAUUAUGAAAUAAAAACUACAAAUAAUAAAUAUAAGGAAACAAAAUUAUGCGAUGUAUUAGAUAGUCCAGGAUACAUUAUUUUAGAUGGAUAUAUUAAGACAAAUUUCUCUGAAAUUUUUAACACAAAAUUAAACAAAAUUAUUGGAUGUGGAUCAAUUACUGAUGGCUUAUACAAACUGAAAAUACAUAUUUUAGAUUUUUCUGAUAAUAAUUAUUUGGAUUUAAAUUUAAAAAAAGGUGACAAAGUUGAAAUUAAAGGAAUUAUGCAACUCAAUGCUGAUCCGCCAUAUUUACUUGUAAAUGACAUCAAUGAUUUAAAACAAAAAGAUGGUCGAAUGUCAAUACUCCAUUUAUUGAAAGGGAUAAAUACACCUUAGAAAAGAAAAUUAGAAG